GACGAACGCUGGCGGCGUGCUUAACACAUGCAAGUCGAGCGAGGCCCCUCCUUCCGGAGGGUGUCCUAGCGGCGAACGGGUGAGUAACACGUGGGCAACCUGCCCUCCUCUCUGGGAUAACUCCGGUAAACCGGGGCUAAUACCGGCUACGACCUCCACGGGCAUCUGCGGUGGUGGAAAGUUUUUCGGCUGAGGUUGGGCCCGCGGCCUAUCAGCUAGUUGGUGGGGUAGUGGCUCACCAAGGCGACGACGGGUAGCCGGCCUGAGAGGGCGACCGGCCACACUGGGACUGAGACACGGCCCAGACUCCUACGGGAGGCAGCAGUGGGGAAUAUUGCGCAAUGGGCGAAAGCCUGACGCAGCGACGCCGCGUGAGGGACGAAGGCCUUCGGGUUGUAAACCUCUUUCAGCAGGGACGAAGCGAAAGUGACGGUACCUGCAGAAGAAGCACCGGCCAACUACGUG
This 465-nucleotide ribosomal RNA is filed under the name uncultured bacterium. RNAcentral's name for it is "partial 16S ribosomal RNA". It matches the Rfam family "Bacterial small subunit ribosomal RNA", at positions 28 to 507 of the family's 1533-position model. The record is from RNAcentral.